UGUGGGUGAAGUCACAUUUCUACCUGCCAAAAAGAGGAGCAAGAGGAUGCUGGAAUGAAGGGACAGCAGUAGAGAAGGCACAAAGGUGUGGACCCACAGGGAAGAAUUUUAGACAGUUUCUGCUUGUCUGAAGAAACCAUAAUGGCCUUCUCCUAAGUAGUUGCUUUGCAAAGGACUGCAGAUUUCCUAAGGACCCACCCCUGCCAUGUCUCACUGCUCCUGAACAUGUAACAGAUUCAAAUUCCAGCAGAUCUCACAGAAUGAUGGAUGGAGUCAUUCUGAGGAGGUAUAUACCCAAACGAAUUGAAGGCAGGAACUUGAACUGUUAUUUUCAUAGUGGCAUUAUUCACAAUAGCCAAAAGAUGGAAGCACCCACGUGUGUAUCAACAGAUGAAUGGAUAAAUAAAAUAUGGUAUACACAU
This is a long non-coding RNA of Choloepus didactylus (southern two-toed sloth), 422 nucleotides long. RefSeq lists it as uncharacterized. The transcript is spliced from 3 exons. Lineage: Eukaryota; Metazoa; Chordata; Mammalia; Pilosa; Megalonychidae. The record is from RefSeq and is a predicted model, not a curated record.